This 110-nucleotide small RNA is filed under the name Marmota monax (woodchuck). Lineage: Eukaryota; Metazoa; Chordata; Mammalia; Rodentia; Sciuridae. The record is from RNAcentral.
GCCAGGCGCAGUGAGUGGUGAGUGCCUGUAAUCCCAGCAACUCGGAGGCUGAGGCAGGAGGAUAGCAAGUUUGAGGCCAGCCUCAGCAACUUAGUAAGACCCUAUCCCAA